UAGUCCUAGCAGUAAACGGUGCACGUUUGGUGUGGGGGAUUCGACCCCCUCCGUGCCGGAGCUAACGCGUUAAACGUGCCGCCUGGGGAGUACGGCCGCAAGGCUAAAACUCAAAGAAAUUGACGGGGACCCGCACAAGCGGUGGAGUAUGUGGCUUAAUUCGAUGCAACGCGAAGAACCUUACCUGGGCUUGACAUGCAUCCCUAAACCGGUGAAAGCCGGGGAGCUCUUUGAGCAGUUUGCACAGGUGCUGCAUGGCUGUCGUCAGCUCGUGUCGUGAGAUGUUGGGUGAAGUCCCGCAACGAGCGCAACCCUUGUCUUUAGUUGCCAUCAUUCAGUUGGGCACUCUAAAGAGACUGCCGGUGACAAACCGGAGGAAGGUAAGGAUGACGUCAAGUCAGCAUGCCCCUUACGCCCUGGGCUACACACGUGCUACAAUGGUCGUGACAAAGGGUCGCUAAUCUGCAAAGACAUGCUAAUCUCAUAAACACGGCCUCAGUUCGGAUUGC
RNAcentral lists this ribosomal RNA (509 nucleotides) under uncultured bacterium. Its description in RNAcentral is "bacterial SSU rRNA". It matches the Rfam family "Bacterial small subunit ribosomal RNA", at positions 791 to 1301 of the family's 1533-position model. The record is from RNAcentral.